Molecule: ribosomal RNA, 253 nt
Filed under: uncultured bacterium
Lineage: Bacteria
Description: partial 16S ribosomal RNA
Rfam family: Bacterial small subunit ribosomal RNA
Source: RNAcentral
UACGGGGGGGGCAAGCGUUGUUCGGAAUUACUGGGCGUAAAGGGCUCGUAGGCGGCCAACUAAGUCCGACGUGAAAUCCCCAGGCUUAACCUGGGAACUGCGUCGGAUACUGGAUGGCUUGAAUUCGGGAGAGGGAUGCAGAACUCCAGGUGUAGCGGUGAAAUGCGUAGAUAUCUGGAGGAAUACCGGUGGCGAAGGCGGCAUCCUGGACCGACAUUGACGCUGAGGAGCGAAAGCUAGGGGAGCAAACGGG